RNAcentral lists this ribosomal RNA (423 nucleotides) under uncultured bacterium. RNAcentral describes it as "bacterial SSU rRNA". It matches the Rfam family "Bacterial small subunit ribosomal RNA", at positions 202 to 622 of the family's 1533-position model. The record is from RNAcentral.
AAGACCUUGUGCUUUUGGAGCGGCCGAUGCCUGAUUAGCUUGUUGGUAAGGUAAAAGCUUACCAAGGCUUCGAUCAGUAGCUGGUCUGAGAGGACGACCAGCCACACUGGGACUGGGACACGGCCCAGACUCCUACGGGAGGCAGCAGUGGGGAAUUUUGGACAAUGGGGGCAACCCUGAUCCAGCCAUGCCGCGUGAGUGAAGAAGGCCUUCGGGUUGUAAAGCUCUUUCAGCCGGAACGAAACGGUUACGGAUAAUACCCGUGACUACUGACGGUACCGGAAGAAGAAGCACCGGCUAACUACGUGCCAGCAGCCGCGGUAAUACGUAGGGUGCGAGCGUUAAUCGGAAUUACUGGGCGUAAAGCGUGCGCAGGUGGUUUUGUAAGUCAGAUGUGAAAGCCCCGGGCUCAACCUGGGAACU